UACUCUUAGCAAGGCUUUUACAAUGAUAAAGAAUGCAAUAAAAUGUGAUACAUGAUGUGAAUUAUAGAAUUUUGUAAAUCAUUAAAAUUUUAAAUACAACUUGUGUUUUGAGGGAAUGUCUACUACCUCACAUACACUCUAUGAUCAAAUGGGC
This 154-nucleotide ribosomal RNA is filed under the name Selaginella moellendorffii. RNAcentral describes it as "5.8S ribosomal RNA". It matches the Rfam family "5.8S ribosomal RNA". Rfam says of the family: 5.8S ribosomal RNA (5.8S rRNA) is a component of the large subunit of the eukaryotic ribosome. It is transcribed by RNA polymerase I as part of the 45S precursor that also contains 18S and 28S rRNA. The record is from Rfam by way of RNAcentral. Lineage: Eukaryota; Viridiplantae; Streptophyta; Lycopodiopsida; Selaginellales; Selaginellaceae.